This 513-nucleotide ribosomal RNA is filed under the name uncultured bacterium. RNAcentral's name for it is "partial 16S ribosomal RNA". It matches the Rfam family "Bacterial small subunit ribosomal RNA", at positions 28 to 523 of the family's 1533-position model. The record is from RNAcentral.
GACGAACGCUGGCGGCGUGCCUAAUACAUGCAAGUUGAGCGCUGAAGGUUGGUACUUGUACCGACUGGAUGAGCAGCGAACGGGUGAGUAACGCGUGGGGAAUCUGCCUUUGAGCGGGGGACAACAUUUGGAAACGAAUGCUAAUACCACAUAACAACUUUAAACACAAGUUUUAAGUUUGAAAGAUGCAAUUGCAUCACUCAAAGAUGAUCCCGGGUUGUAUUAGCUAGUUGGUGAGGUAAAGGCUCACCAAGGCGAUGAUACAUAGCCGACCUGAGAGGGUGAUCGGCCACAUUGGGACUGAGACACGGCCCAAACUCCUACGGGAGGCAGCAGUAGGGAAUCUUCGGCAAUGGACGAAAGUCUGACCGAGCAACGCCGCGUGAGUGAAGAAGGUUUUCGGAUCGUAAAACUCUGUUGGUAGAGAAGAACGUUGGUGAGAGUGGAAAGCUCAUCAAGUGACGGUAACUACCCAGAAAGGGACGGCUAACUACGUGCCAGCCGCCGCCGUAA